Molecule: non-coding RNA, 440 nt
Organism: Cricetulus griseus (Chinese hamster)
Lineage: Eukaryota; Metazoa; Chordata; Mammalia; Rodentia; Cricetidae
Source: the annotation of a RefSeq genome assembly
AUGGAGUUGGGGCUGAGCUGCAUUUUCCUUGUUGCUCUUUUAAAAGGUGUCCAUUGUGAUGUGCAGCUGGUGGAGUAUGGGGGUGGCUUGGUGAAGCCUGUAGGGUCCCUGAAACUCUCCUGUGCAGCCUCUGGAUUCACCUUCAGUGACUGUUGGAUGAACUGGGUCUGCCAGGCUCCCGGCAAGGGGCUGCAGUGGGUUGGAAAUUUUAAAUAUGAUGGCAGUUACACAAACUAUGCACCAUCCGUGAAGGGCCGGUUCACCAUCUCCAGAGACAAUGCCAAGAACACUCUGUACCUGCAAAUGAACAGUGUGAAGUCUGAGGACACCGCCACUUAUUACUGUUCUAUAUACACACACAGUGAGUGAUCUCAGUGUGAACCCAGACAAAAACCUCACUGUGAGGUCGCUCACGGCCACCAGAGGGCGCACAGCACACA